UAUCUACUUCCUCCGUCUGAAAAAACUUGUCCCUCAAAGUGAUGUAUCUCGCACCAAGUUGAUGAUAGAUACAUCCAUUUGAGAAAAGUUUGGGACAAGUUUUUUCGGACGGAGGGAGUAGUGU
Molecule: non-coding RNA, 124 nt
Organism: Triticum aestivum (bread wheat)
Lineage: Eukaryota; Viridiplantae; Streptophyta; Magnoliopsida; Poales; Poaceae
Source: Rfam